This is a long non-coding RNA of Gallus gallus (chicken), 1440 nucleotides long. The record is from Ensembl. Lineage: Eukaryota; Metazoa; Chordata; Aves; Galliformes; Phasianidae.
CCCAGAACACUGGUGUGCUGGCCUGCAGAUGUGAGCAAGCUUUAAAAAGGAGAGUGACUCAUGAAACAUCGCUUCGAGGGAGAAGACCCACAUACGACCAGUACGAGCACUUUAAACUAAGCAUCUAAGACAGCAGAAGAAAAAAUCAGAAGGAAACAAUGGAGAAGUAUAAAGAGAGACCACACACCUAACUCCUUCGACAGCUCUGGUACCAUCCCAGAGGUCACUGGAUGUGAUUUUACUUCUGCAAUAUCCCACGUUCCUGCAUUCUAAAGAAGGAAACCAACAGUAACCCAAAGUGUGAUGUCAUGUUGAGAGCUGGCAACUGCAGUUUCAGCCUGACACUCCCAAUCCUUUUACAGCCUUUCCAUGUUCUCAUCAUCCCAAGCCUGCAGCUACUUUUAUUGCUGGAGAAGAAUCAAGCAAAGGAGAAAUGAUCUCCUAGGGACAGAAUCCAGCCAAGUUGCUAUUUGCACCUUCUCAGCCCUUCCAAUUGCAUAUCAUACCAGCACAGCAUUUCUCUGGACUUAAUUCCUCACUCAUCUGGACUGAUUUGCCUUUCGUGAGCAACAGAAUGUUGUCAUACAUCAGGAUGCUGUCAUACAUCAGGUUGGAGUUUGGCCUUCUGAAGGCAGGAGAGUGAAAAAUGGUACUAAUGUCCUUCCCACACCAACCCUGUAUUCUGCAAAGGAAAGGACUCCAGCAAAGAAAGCAACUAACGUAACGGCAACCUAAGACCACGUUCUGAAUCAUCAGAGUCCUGGACUACUGCUACUGAAGGGCUCAUCAAAGCUGUGAGUGUGUCAACAUCACUCCACCUACUUGGAGGUGCUCUGGAAUAACUGAUUCACAGGCAUUUUGCUUGCUUGGCACUCAGCCUUGUGCAGCCAGUGCUGUCUUGAGCCUUUUCAAGUAAUUCAGGCAAAAAAUGGAGUUUGCUGACAAAAGGGGGUUUGCCUAGAGCAUCUCUACUAGGAAGACAUCCAAUCUUGAUCUGAAAACAUCAAGAGACAGAGAAUCCAACGCUUCUUUUGAGAUUUUAUGCUCAUUAAAAUCUGAGAACUAUGGCAAGGAUUUCAGCUUGAUAGGCAGAAAGUAUCUCAUUCGUCCCAAAGGAGUGGGGGGGGGACACCCCGCAGCUCUCAGGAAGAGGGACGGCUUACCUGGACGUGGGCUCUUGGUGAGGGCUCAGCACAACGUGAGGAUGCCCGUGGGAACCUGUACCUCUGCAGUAUGCAUUUUGCCGUGGUUUAUUUGUGCUGUCCCCGUAACACACCCAUUGCUGUGGGAUGUGGAUGCCUUUCGGUGAUGUACUAAACUAAUAAACUACCUGUCAUGCGUGUUUCUGACUCAGUUUUGCAGUCGAAAAGGAAAAGUCAUCCCUCCCUGAUGGCACAUUGCCGUGUGGCCACUCUACACUCACUAUAAGUUUAAAACAAC